GGACUACCAGGGUUUCUAAUCCCGUUUGCUCCCCUGGCUUUCGUGUCUCAGCGUCAGCACAUCCCCAGCUACCUGUUUUCACCAUUGGCGUUCCAAAUGAUAUCUACGCAUUUCACCGCUCCACCAUUUGUUCCGGUAGCCCCUAGAUGGCUCAAGACAUCCAGUAUACCAAGCAGUUCCACGGUUGAGCCGUGGGAUUUCACAAGGUACUUAGACAUCCGCCUACACACGCUUUAAGCCCAGUGAUUCCGCCUAACGCUUGGCACCUCUGUCUUACCGCGGCUGCUGGCAC
Molecule: ribosomal RNA, 292 nt
Filed under: uncultured bacterium
Lineage: Bacteria
Description: partial 16S ribosomal RNA
Source: RNAcentral